AUUGAUUUUAUGCCUGCAUAAAUGAUUUUUGGAUUCGGAGCGAGUGGCGAACUGGUGAGUAACACGUGGGUAACCUGCCCCGAAGCGGGGGAUAACAUUUGGAAACAAGUGCUAAUACCGCAUAAUUAGUUGGAACCGCAUGGUUCCAACUUGAAAGAUGGCUCUGCUAUCACUUUGGGAUGGACCCGCGCCGUAUUAGUUAGUUGGUGAGAUAAAAGCCCACCAAGACGAUGAUACGUAGCCGACCUGAGAGGGUAAUCGGCCACAUUGGGACUGAGACACGGCCCAGACUCCUACGGGAGGCAGCAGUAGGGAAUCUUCCACAAUGGACGAAAGUCUGAUGGAGCAACGCCGCGUGAGUGAUGAAGGUUUUCGGAUCGUAAAACUCUGUUGUUAAAGAAGAACAAGUGUUAGAGUAACUGUUAACACUUUGACGGUAUUUAACCAGAAAGCCACGGCUAACUACGUGCCAGCAGCCGCGGUAAUACGUAGGUGGCAAGCGUUGUCCGGAUUUAUUGGGCGUAAAGCGAGCGCAGGCGGUUUUGUAAGUCUGCUGUGAAAGCCCUCAGCUCAACUGAGGAAGUGCAGUGGAAACUACAAAACUUGAGUACAGAAGAGGAAAGUGGAACUCCAUGUGUAGCGGUGAAAUGCGUAGAUAUAUGGAAGAACACCAGUGGCGAAGGCGGCUUUCUGGUCUGUUACUGACGCUGAGGCUCGAAAGCAUGGGUAGCGAACAGGAUUAGAUACCCUGGUAGUCCAUGCCGUAAACGAUGAAUACUAGGUGUUGGAGGGUUUCCGCCCUUCAGUGCCGCAGCUAACGCAUUAAGUAUUCCGCCUGGGAAGUACGACCGCAAGGUUGAAACUCAAAGGAAUUGACGGGGGCCCGCACAAGUGGUGGAGCAUGUGGUUUAAUUCGAUGCUACGCGAAGAACCUUACCAGCUCUUGACAUCUUCUGCCAACCCAAGAGAUUGGGCGUUCCCUUCGGGGACAGAAUGACAGGUGGUGCAUGGUUGUCGUCAGCUCGUGUCGUGAGAUGUUGGGUUAAGUCCCGCAACGAGCGCAACCCUUAUUAUUAGUUGCCAGCAUUUAGUUGGGCACUCUAGUGAGACUGCCGGUGAUAAA
Molecule: ribosomal RNA, 1123 nt
Filed under: uncultured bacterium
Lineage: Bacteria
Description: bacterial SSU rRNA
Rfam family: Bacterial small subunit ribosomal RNA
Source: RNAcentral